This 487-nucleotide ribosomal RNA is filed under the name uncultured bacterium. RNAcentral's name for it is "bacterial SSU rRNA". It matches the Rfam family "Bacterial small subunit ribosomal RNA", at positions 28 to 507 of the family's 1533-position model. The record is from RNAcentral.
GAUGAACGCUAGCGGGAGGCUUAACACAUGCAAGUCGAGGGGCAGCAUAGGGUAGCAAUACUCUGAUGGCGACCGGCAAACGGGUGAGUAACGCGUAUGCAACCUACCCUGUACAGGGGGAUAACCCGGAGAAAUUCGGACUAAUAUCCCGUAAUAAUAUCCGGAGGCAUCUUUGGAUAUUUAAAGUUCCGACGGUACGGGAUGGGCAUGCGUAACAUUAACUGGUUGGUAAGGUAACGGCUUACCAAGGCUAUGAUGUUUAGGGGUCCUGAGAGGGUGGUCCCCCACACUGGUACUGAGACACGGACCAGACUCCUACGGGAGGCAGCAGUGAGGAAUAUCGGUCAAUGGGCGCAAGCCUGAACCAGCCAUCCCGCGUGCAGGAAGACGGCCCUAUGGGUUGUAAACUGCUUUUCCAGGGAGAGAAACUUACGCACGUGUUGCGUGACUGACGGUACCCUGGGAAUAAGCAUCGGCUAACUCCGUG